Molecule: ribosomal RNA, 1065 nt
Filed under: uncultured Acidobacteriota bacterium
Lineage: Bacteria; Pseudomonadati; Acidobacteriota
Description: bacterial SSU rRNA
Rfam family: Bacterial small subunit ribosomal RNA
Source: RNAcentral
UACCCGGGGAUCCGAUUCCUACGGGAGGCAGCAGCGGGGAAUUGUUCGCAAUGGGCGCAAGCCUGACGACGCAACGCCGCGUGGAGGAUGAAGGCCUUCGGGUCGUAAACUCCUGUUGAUCGGGAAGAAUGGGCUCCGGGUAAAUAUCCUGGAGCAGUGACGGUACCGAUUGAGGAAGCCACGGCUAACUCUGUGCCAGCAGCCGCGGUAAUACAGAGGUGGCAAGCGUUGUUCGGAAUUACUGGGCGUAAAGGGCGCGUAGGUGGCCUUCUUAGUCAGACGUGAAAUCCCCAGGCUUAACCUGGGAACUGCGUCUGAUACUGGAAGGCUCGAGUUCGGGAGAGGAAUGUGGAAUUCCAGGUGUAGCGGUGAAAUGCGUAGAUAUCUGGAGGAACACCGGUGACGAAGGCGGCAUUCUGGACCGAAACUGACACUGAGGCGCGAAAGCCAGGGGAGCAAACGGGAUUAGAUACCCCGGUAGUCCUGGCCCUAAACGAUGAGUGCUUGGUGUGGCGGGUAUCGAUCCCUGCCGUGCCGAAGCUAACGCAUUAAGCGCCCCGCCUGGGGAGUACGGCCGCAAGGCUAAAACUCAAAGGAAUUGACGGGGGCCCGCACAAGCGGCGGAGCAUGUGGCUUAAUUCGACGCAACGCGAAGAACCUUACCAAGGCUUGACAUAUACCGAAAACUCAUAGAGAUAUGGGGUCCGCAAGGGCGGUAUACAGGUGGUGCAUGGUUGUCGUCAGCUCGUGUCGUGAGAUGUUGGGUUAAGUCCCGCAACGAGCGCAACCCCUACUGUGUGUUGUAUCACUCACACGGGACUGCCGAGAGAAACUCGGGGGAAGGCGGGGAUGACGUCAAGUCAGCAUGGCCCUUACGUCCUGGGCUACACCCACGCUACAAUGGCCGGUACAACGGGCUGCGAAACCGCGAGGUGGAGCGAAUCCCUUAAAGCCGGUCUCAGUUCGGAUUGUAGGCUGCAACUCGCCUACAUGAAGCCGGAGUUGCUAGUAACCGCCGGUCAGCAUACGGCGAUGAAUAUGUUCCCGGGCCUUGUACACACCGCC